Vanessa tameamea is the source of this 457-nucleotide long non-coding RNA. RefSeq lists it as uncharacterized. Lineage: Eukaryota; Metazoa; Arthropoda; Insecta; Lepidoptera; Nymphalidae. The record is from RefSeq and is a predicted model, not a curated record. The transcript has 2 exons.
AGGCGUUAAUAAUGAACUGAUUACAAUAACUAUGAAGCCAUGGUUCAUUACCUGUUCUAUAAAAGUAUAGUCAGACAUUGUAACGAUAUCAUUAACUACAAAAUGAGAUUCUUGGUGCUAUUUUCUGUGCUCUUUGCGCUCGUGUGUGCCGCAAUGGGUGAAUUCGACUACACUGCAAAUUAUGCCAGACUUGCUUCCCAAAUCCCACCCAAUGUCAACGUCCGAAAUUUGGUUAAAUCUCUUCAUGCAGCUAGAAACUUACAUCAACAUCAAUAGCUUUUUGACAUCUCAUUGAAGUAAAUAUGAUUUCGAAUUAUAAAGAUCUGAUUUUGAUAAAUUUUAACAAUAGACCAAUUCUCUUACACCUGCAGAUAUGUAUAUCCCACUAAUUUAAAUUGAUGUUCAGUUAUCGAAUCCAACGUUUUAUAUUAAAGUAAUAAAGCGUGCUAUUAUCUAA